UAGCGUAGGGGGCAAGCGUUUGUCCGGAUUUAUUGGGCGUAAAGAGCGUGUAGGCGGUUUGGAUAGGUCCGCUGUGAAAACUCGAGGCUCAACCUCGAGACGCCGGUGGAAACCAUCAGACUAGAGUCCGGAAGAGGAGAGUGGAAUUACCUGGGUGUAGCGGUGAAAUGCGCAGAUAGUCAGGAAGAACACCCGUGGCUAAGGCGGCUCUCUAGUACGGUAACUGGACGGCUGAAGACGGCGAAAAGCG
This 250-nucleotide ribosomal RNA is filed under the name uncultured bacterium. Its description in RNAcentral is "partial 16S ribosomal RNA". It matches the Rfam family "Bacterial small subunit ribosomal RNA", at positions 523 to 762 of the family's 1533-position model. The record is from RNAcentral.